GGUUCCAUUGUGUAGCAGCACGUCUGCUUUACACACAGCAGGUCCUGGGUUCACACCCCAGUGGAGCCA
RNAcentral lists this transfer RNA (69 nucleotides) under Pteropus alecto (black flying fox). It matches the Rfam family "tRNA". Rfam says of the family: Transfer RNA (tRNA) molecules are approximately 80 nucleotides in length. Their secondary structure includes four short double-helical elements and three loops (D, anti-codon, and T loops). RNAcentral also lists the same sequence under 1 other name. The record is from Rfam by way of RNAcentral. Lineage: Eukaryota; Metazoa; Chordata; Mammalia; Chiroptera; Pteropodidae.